CAAAAAAUAGUUUAUUUAAAAUAUUAAUUUUGGAGAUUAUUGAUAGAAUAUGUAAAAGUUCUUUUUUUGA
This 70-nucleotide transfer RNA is filed under the name Gilpinia sp. Its description in RNAcentral is "tRNA-Pro". The record is from RNAcentral. Lineage: Eukaryota; Metazoa; Arthropoda; Insecta; Hymenoptera; Diprionidae.